UACAGAGGGUGCGAGCGUUGUUCGGAAUUACUGGGCGUAAAGGGCGCGUAGGCGGUUUAACAAGUCGAUUGUGAAAGCCCGGGGCUUAACCUCGGAAGUGCAGUCGAAACUGUUAGACUAGAGUGCAGUAGAGGUUGGUGGAAUACCCAGUGUAGAGGUGAAAUUCGUAGAUAUUGGGUGGAACACCGGUGGCGAAGGCGGCCAACUGGGCUGCAACUGACGCUGAGGCGCGAAAGCGUGGGGAUCAAAC
Molecule: ribosomal RNA, 250 nt
Filed under: uncultured bacterium
Lineage: Bacteria
Description: partial 16S ribosomal RNA
Rfam family: Bacterial small subunit ribosomal RNA
Source: RNAcentral